Molecule: ribosomal RNA, 301 nt
Filed under: uncultured bacterium
Lineage: Bacteria
Description: partial 16S ribosomal RNA
Rfam family: Bacterial small subunit ribosomal RNA
Source: RNAcentral
CAGCCGCCGCGGGAAUACAGAGGGUGCAAGCGUUAAUCGGAAUUACUGGGCGUAAAGCGCGCGUAGGUGGUUUGUUAAGUUGGAUGUGAAAUCCCCGGGCUCAACCUGGGAACUGCAUUCAAAACUGACUGACUAGAGUAUGGUAGAAGGUGGUGGAAUUUCCUGUGUAGUGGUGAAAUGCGUAGAUAUAGGAAGGAACACCAGUGGCGAAGGCGACCACCUGGACUAAUACUGACACUGAGGUGCGAAAGCGUGGGGAGCAAACAGGAUUAGAUACCCCGGUAGUCCCUGUCUCUUAUAC